Long non-coding RNA from Corythoichthys intestinalis (scribbled pipefish), 1200 nucleotides. RefSeq lists it as uncharacterized. The record is from RefSeq and is a predicted model, not a curated record. The transcript is spliced from 2 exons. Lineage: Eukaryota; Metazoa; Chordata; Actinopteri; Syngnathiformes; Syngnathidae.
UCAUGCAUUUUCCGUGAUUAUUGAUGCAAUCGCUUCUUUGGCGAGUCAAAAACAUGCAGAUAAAAAUUUUUUUGUGUUGACACCCAGAAGUCACUAGAUGGAGCCAUAGGCCAAUACAUGAAUUUUCUUGCGAAGCUAGCUUCAGAUCGGUCAAAAAUUAAUGCAAUAAAGACGGUUGGCUUUACAAAAAAAAAUGGUGUCAAUGUUGUCUGAGCUCACUUUCAGUCUAUUUGGGCAUGCGUAUUUGCAAUUUUGCACGUUUGCACAAGACAAUAAAAAGGUACUUCCCGGAAAUGCAAAAAAACCAAAACAAAAAACCACGUGUUUAUUGUUGUCGUUUGAAUUUCAACUUUUAUUGGUUGGGUGUUUGAAUUUCUUUACUCUCAUUGGUUCUGGGCAUUUUGGGAGUCUCUGUUCUCGCGAGGAUCACCAUUUUGCAUUUCUUCCAACACAACUUAUGAUCGAUGGCGGCGAGAAGUAUUUCACCGCAGGACACGAUUCGAAUGGUGUUAGAAAAUCCUGAUUCCGACGACGACGACCUUUGUUCGGACGCUUCUUUGGAGAGCCCAGAAGACAUUGAACAAAUUCUUCCGGACUUUCGAUGCCGGAGGAGGACGGCUUUGAUGACGAGGAUUAGGAAAUAGUUGACAACAUAACGAGAUGAAAGCGGGGAGCAGAAGGCGGGGGCACGGACAUGACCACGUUGAGGCGCAUGACGAAAAUGACGGCGAUCGAGGCCUGAGGCACAUACUCCUGCCGCCGGCGCGCACUCAGGUGGCCAAUGUGUGUUUUUUCACAUGCCGGACAUUUCGUCAUGCAGCGCGUUUGUGCUGUUCACGGAGAUCUACCCUGAGUGGAACGUGAAGAAAAGCUACAAGCGCCGACUAUUUCUUGAGGAACUUGGCAAGGCUCUAAUUCGGCCAGAAGUCCUAAAACGGGAACCACCGCCUUCUGCCGAAGGCUUGGUUGAGCAGCGAGCUGGACCCCCGUCCAAGCGCAAACAAUGUGGCCUUUGCACAAAGCCACUUCGGGCUUCGAACAUAAUAAUAAAUAAUAAUACAUUUUAUUUAUAACGCACUUUACAUUUGAACAACAAAUCUCAAAGUGCACAUCAUGAAUUGUGUAUGUUGUUAUUAUGUUAACUGUUAUAUUGUAUGUAUGUUUUGUAAAAUUGUUAACAUAAAUUCUAUCAUCAAAUCA